Molecule: ribosomal RNA, 271 nt
Filed under: Mopalia retifera
Lineage: Eukaryota; Metazoa; Mollusca; Polyplacophora; Chitonida; Mopaliidae
Description: partial 28S ribosomal RNA
Rfam family: Eukaryotic large subunit ribosomal RNA
Source: RNAcentral
AAAGUGAAGGCAGCCUCGGGUUUUUUCUAAGUAGGAUCCUUUUUUUCUCGAGGAGAGGCGCACUACCGGCCCGUCUCGUCCGCGUCGCGGUGAGGCGGAGCGAGAGCGUACACGUUGGGACCCGAAAGAUGGUGAACUAUGCCUGAGUAGGACGAAGCCAGAGGAAACUCUGGUGGAAGUCCGUAGCGAUUCUGACGUGCAAAUCGAUCGUCGAACUUGGGUAUAGGGGCGAAAGACUAAUCAAACCGUCUAGUAGCUGGUUCCUUCCGAA